This 366-nucleotide ribosomal RNA is filed under the name uncultured bacterium. Its description in RNAcentral is "bacterial SSU rRNA". It matches the Rfam family "Bacterial small subunit ribosomal RNA", at positions 28 to 393 of the family's 1533-position model. The record is from RNAcentral.
GAUGAACGCUAGCGGCAGGCUUAAUACAUGCAAGUCGAGGGGCAGCACGGUUAGCAAUAACUGGUGGCGACCGGCGCACGGGUGCGUAACACGUAUACAAUCUACCUUAAACAGGGGAUAGCCUUUCGAAAGAGAGAUUAAUACCCCGUAAUAAAUUGAACGGCAUCGUUUGAUUUUGAAAGCUCCGGCGGUUUGAGAUGAGUAUGCGUCUGAUUAGCUAGUUGGUGAGGUAACGGCUCACCAAGGCGACGAUCAGUAGGGGAUCUGAGAGGACUAACCCCCACACUGGUACUGAGACACGGACCAGACUCCUACGGGAGGCAGCAGUAAGGAAUAUUGGUCAAUGGAGGCAACUCUGAACCAGCC